Molecule: RNase P RNA, 355 nt
Filed under: Pelotomaculum isophthalicicum JI
Lineage: Bacteria; Bacillati; Bacillota; Clostridia; Eubacteriales; Desulfotomaculaceae
Description: Bacterial RNase P class A
Rfam family: Bacterial RNase P class A
About the family: Ribonuclease P (RNase P) is a ubiquitous endoribonuclease, found in archaea, bacteria and eukarya as well as chloroplasts and mitochondria. Its best characterised activity is the generation of mature 5'-ends of tRNAs by cleaving the 5'-leader elements of precursor-tRNAs.
Source: Rfam by way of RNAcentral
UGAGUAAAUCAGGUGGUCGCGGGCGCCAGGCCGAAAGGUGGCGUCUGAGGAAAGUCCGAGCUCCGCAGGGCAGGGUGCUGGGUAAUACCCAGUGGGGGCGACCCUAAGGAAAGUGCCACAGAAAUGUAGACCGCCACUUCUCAAGUGGUAAGGAUGGAACGGUGCGGUAAGAGCGCACCAGCGGCCGGGUGACCGGCCGGCUAGGUAAACCCCACCCGGAGCAAGACCGAAUAGGGGAACAUUUGCGGCGGCCCGUCGUUGAUUCCCGGGUAAGGUCGCUUGAGGCGCGCUGGCAACAGCCGUCCCAGAUAGAUGAUCAUCCACGACAGAACUCGGCUUACGAUUUGCUCACUAA